CGGCAGUUGUAGCAGUUGGCCGUUGGACGAGCUGCAACUACAGCACCUGAAGCAGCGCUGUGCGGCCCUACCGGCCCUUCAGGUAGGUGUCUGACUCAGCGUUGACUGUCUGGUGUGUUCACAACAUGUUCUUUGUCACUCCACCUCCUCCUCCUCCUCCUGGCUUUUUCACCACAGGUUCUGGAGAUGGUGGGUUUGUCGACAAGUCAGGUGGAUGAGGUUUUCGUCACCCUGCUAGCAAGACCGACCCUGAUUUCAAAGGUAUGUACGGCAAAUAUACGGCACAGUUAACUUGGGACGUAAGCAAGGGUGGAGAGGGUUUUAGUCCU
This 329-nucleotide long non-coding RNA is filed under the name Volvox carteri. Its description in RNAcentral is "long non-coding RNA (VCAR_LNC000781)". The record is from RNAcentral. Lineage: Eukaryota; Viridiplantae; Chlorophyta; Chlorophyceae; Chlamydomonadales; Volvocaceae.